AAAUUAAUACAUCAAGUUUAAUUUGUUUUUUUUUUUAAUACGGUCUGCUUCAAAUGAAACAGAUAGAUAGAAAGACAUCCUACAAAAUGUUUGGAUUUUUUCAGAUAUUUCUGAUAUUUGUUGGAGUAAGAUUGACCAGUGCCAAAGACUGUAAAACCCACAAUAUUGUUUACGAUUCAUAUAAUUGGGUGUACUGUUCCGGAGACUGCUGUAAUAUCUUGUACGAUGACCCAUGCUGCUAUUAUAAAACUACUUAUACUACUUCCGGAACUAAAUUGUCCAAUGGAGCUUAUUAUGGCAUGACUGGAGGUGGUAUUGUGUUUAUUGUGCUGGUUGUAGCUUGCUGUUGUUAUGGGUGUAGGUCGAGAAGGCCGAGUGGAGGACAGGUGAUAUCAACUUUUCAGCCAACAGUGCCUUACGCUCCUUACUGCAUUUCACCUGGAGCUCAUCCAUUUGGAAUGACAAACAAUGGUUUUUCGGGAGGACACAAUCCACCAAUUGCCUCGGCGCCAGUUACAAAUGGUAAACGGAGCUCAUCACUGUCAUCGCUAAGCAGUAGUUUAAAGCUAGCGUCAAAUGCGUUUGAAAUGGCAGGAAAUUUAGGAGAAAUUGGUGGAAGCGUGAGUGAAAUAUCUGAAGCCUUUAUGUAAAUUUAGGCUUUAGAUUACAGGAUUAUAAAGAUACAUGUGUGCUUGUGUAUGCAAAGUUUUGCAUAUAAACUGACUACUCUAAUGUGUACUAACAAACUAUCAACCAACUGUUUUGUUGCAAUGCUAUACUCAUGUUAAUGUAAUGCAUACUAUUAGAGUCAAUAGUUUUUAUUGUAAAGUGUACUAUAAGCAAUCUUUUUGGGGCGUAUGGCAAAGAAGGCAGAUUUUUCCAAUCUUGACCUUCUAAGAAAUUUUUUAAGAUCAUUUGUUUUUUAUAGUAAAACAAAAUUACAUGUAAAAAUAAGAUAUGGUAUGAUUACCAGUGAGACAACUAUCCAGCAGAGUCCAAAUGACAUGGAUAUAGGCUUUAGAUCACCGAUUGACCAACAGCAAUAAGCAAAACCCAUACCGUAUAUGUAGCGUAAAAAAUACAACAUGACAAGAUGUUGAUUAGGAAUUCAAACGAGACAAACCAAUGUAUAUGGUGACAUUGAUAUAAACAUGUAUUUUCAACUUCCACAAAAAUCAAAUAUUGUUAUUAAGAUUAACCAGUUGUAGUACUUUAAAUGUAGCAGAUUGACAAAACCAACAGUUACUAUAACUACAGACGAAUAUAGCAAUGCUUCAACUUCAUCUUGCCACGCCAUUUUAAAUUAGUAUAAAUCCAGUAUAGUAUGCGAUUGUGAGGAGAUUUAUUAAUAAAGAUUUUACCCCUAUAUCGAGUGUGAUAUGAUGUUUCUCUACUCGAGAAAUUUUCACAUUUAAAACGCGAGCUUUCCGAGAUUUAGUGGUGGCAUUGGAUUCUCUAAUGAUUUUGAGACGAUAUGUAGACAAACGUAAUCUUUCUUUUUCAAUAACCUUGAAAAAGUUGUGAUAUUUCAAUAUAACGUCGUCAUUUUGCCGUGACUUCGCAAUAGAAAAUUCAAAGGAAAGAAAGAAAAUCAAAAAAACCACACGUUGAUUAAAAAAAUAAUAAUAGUUCAAGAAAAAGAUUACAAUUAAGGAGAUAUAGAUUCUACCACUGCCUUUAAUGUUAUUCGAUUUUUUUUCACUCAAGACUGUUAAAUUUUCAAAUUUAAAACGCGAGGCUUGCCCAACAUUUUAAACUUUUAAAGACGAUUUCAAGACGAUAUGUAAGCAAACUUUAUCUUCCUUUUGCAAUGAUAUAAAAAAAGGUGUCCUUUUUCUAUAUGACGUCUUCAGACAUGGUCGCUUUUUUCGUUACGUUACAAUAACAAAAUCAGAAGAAAGCAAGAAAUGCUGACGUCAUAAUAAGGCUUCGACAAAUGAAACGAUCCAAACGUUGGUUAUAAAAACUUUAAAUAACAAAAAUACCGAACUCCAAGGAAAAUUCAAAACUGAAAGUCCUUUAUUAAAUGGAAAAAUAAAAAGCUCAAACACAUCAAACGAAUGGAAAACAACUGUCAUAUCAACAGGUCGGGAAAGUAUAACUAGAUACAAAGAAAAGGACAUAGCAACCUCGGAGAUGUGAUAUUCACCAAGGCUUUAUUUCAAAAAUGAAGCUAUUUGUUGUGAUGCGGUAUAUUAUAUGAAACAAUAAACUUACAAAACAUAUUAAAUCAUCAAACAGAAUACGCUGUUUUGAAAAAUGUAACACUUUAUCUUUUGAAAUCUAUAUUCUUCUCCAUGAAUCAGUCUGUGUCAUGGACUGCAUGUAAAAUGUAUAAGGCUAUUGAAAAGCAAAAUAUAUUGUUUCGAACAAAAUGAGUAAUCAAUAAGAAAGACUACUUCAUUAUCAAAUUAAUAUGCAAACAAAAGAGGCGGAGUUUACAAAAGGGACAUUCAGAGCCCAAACGUCAACGAGAAACCUAUCAAUAUAAAAACACCGUAUAAUAAAGUAAAAUAUUGAUUGUUUUGAAUUCAUUUCUCAAGAGAUAUUCUUUUAAAACUUUAUAGUGAAAAACACUAGGUGAUCAUGUUGUACAAAGAUGUGUUAGGAGUUUUAUAUUUACUUACUACUUGUGGUAAUGUAUUAUUUUCUUAACGCAUAUAUAUUGUUUAGGGAUACUAAAUUAAGCUCUUUUAAUUUAAACAUCCUUUGCAGCAUAACGUAUAUUAAAAAGAAGGCAAACUAUACCAACGGGACAUUUAAAACUCAUUAGAUACCAACGGGAAAUUUAAAACUCAUUAGAUACCAACAGGACAUUUAAAACUCAUAAGAUACCAACGGGAUAUUUAAAACUCAUAAGAUCCAAACGGGACAUUUAAAAUUCAUAAGAUAACAACGGGACAAUAAAAACUCAUCAGAUACCAACGGGACAUUUUAAACUCAUAUGUCGAAGAAACAAUCACAAUCCCAUGGUAAAAACGAAUAACGAUUAAACCAUUAUCGCGACGUCAGCCUAUACAUUUACCGUGGAUUCUUUUUCUAGAAUCAACGCUUCCUAAAUAUGUCGCUUAAAUGGACUCACCAAAUUGUAUUCAAUUGUUUCCUUUGCGUGCAUAAUUUAUUUAAGUUUGAAUUGGUCAAUUUACUGAUUUCUGUUCACUAAUGAAAAUAAUUUAAAAACUUAGCUUUAAAUAUUAUAAUUUGUAUAUGCCUUCACCGGGAAUCGAACCCCUUCCUUGAAAUCUGUUAUGUGUGACUGACAUCAACACAUCGACGAAACCUCUCGGCUACCAAUGGGUUGCAUAUUAAAUGUCUAGUUUAUUUAUAUAAAUGAACAUAUGAUACACAUCGAUACAACGGACACACAGGGCUUGCACCUUUAUGUAUAGAUAAUAGACAACCGUAUAGUAUAAGUUGGUUUAGGUUUCGAAUCCCUGUAUUCUCUUCGUUGUACCUACUCUUUAGUUUUCCUGUUUUUCUUAUUUUGUAUGCUACUGUAGAUAUUUUUGUAAAAAUAUGGGGUUUUCCCGUUUAUUUUUGGAUAAUUAUUUGCUAUUUUUCAUAAUUGAAAUAAAUGAUUACAUUCAA
Long non-coding RNA from Mytilus californianus (California mussel), 3588 nucleotides. RefSeq lists it as uncharacterized. The record is from RefSeq and is a predicted model, not a curated record. Lineage: Eukaryota; Metazoa; Mollusca; Bivalvia; Mytilida; Mytilidae. The transcript has 4 exons.